RNAcentral lists this ribosomal RNA (359 nucleotides) under uncultured soil bacterium. RNAcentral's name for it is "bacterial SSU rRNA". It matches the Rfam family "Bacterial small subunit ribosomal RNA", at positions 26 to 382 of the family's 1533-position model. The record is from RNAcentral.
AGAUUGAACGCUAGCGGGAUGCUUUACACAUGCAAGUCGAACGGCAGCGCGGACUUCGGUCUGGCGGCGAGUGGCGAACGGGUGAGUAAUAUAUCGGAACGUGCCCAGUAGCGGGGGAUAACUACGCGAAAGCGUGGCUAAUACCGCAUACGCCCUACGGGGGAAAGGGGGGAUUCUUCGGAACCUCUCACUAUUGGAGCGGCCGAUAUCAGAUUAGCUAGUUGGUGAGGUAAAGGCUCACCAAGGCGACGAUCCGUAACUGGUCUGAGAGGAUGAUCAGUCACACUGGAACUGAGACACGGUCCAGACCUCCGUACGGGAGCAGCAGUGGGAAUAGUUAGGACAAGUGGGACGAAAGC